GCGCAGAGCCCAAUGCAGGGCUUAAACCCAGGGAUUAAACCCAUGAACUGUGAGAUCAUGACCUGAGCCAACGUCAAGAGUUGGACACUUAACUGACUGAGCCACUCAAGCAUCCCUGUGGGUAAGUUUUCAUAGGACUAUAUAAAUACAUUUUUUCUUCUGUUAAUUAAAAGACAUUUAUGGCAAUAAUUGUAACACUAUUGAAUUUACAGCAUAUAUAUUGGGAUAUGUGUGACAAAAAAACACAAAGUUGGGAGGAAAUACAGCCAUACUCGAGUUUAUUUUGUCAGAUUAAUCUAAAGAUGACUGAUAAAUUAAAAUGCAUAUUGUAAUUCCUACAACAGCCAUUAAGAAAACCCAAACAUUAUUCCUGAAAAAUCAGAGUAGGUUCCACUUCUGGAAUGGCAGUGCAAGGAACUCUGUGGACCUGGUUUACAGCCACAGCUGGUGAAAAGUAUUUUAAAACACCCAUUUAAAGUCUGAAAAUUUUCCUAUGAGCAUGCAGCAAAUGAAACAUUUCUUCAAGAAAAUUUACUAAAUCUCCGUAAGAACAGCAAAAGCUUACAAUAGAUUCCUUAAAAUGCCCAGUUUUUAUAAAAAAAAAAAAAUACAUAAUAAGACAUACAAAGAAAUAGAAAAGUGGAACUGAUACACCGUAUAAAGGAAAAGUAGCUGCAAGGGGACCCAGAUGUUGGUCUUAAAAAAGACUUCAAAGCAACCACCAUGUAUUCAAAGGACUAAAGGAAACCAUGCUUUAAAAGUAAAGUAAGGUAUGUUAACAGUGCUCACCAAUAGUGGAUACACAGAAAUAUUUUUAAAUUAACGAUUUUACUAUAGGGUCUCUACAGUGCAUUUGAACUGGCAGAAGUAUCUGUGAACUUUGAGGUUGAUGGAGAUUAUGCAAUCUGAAGAAGAGAAAAAACCUGAGGGAAAAUAAGCAGAACCUCAGAAACAUGGACUGCAUGAAGUGCACCAACGUACAGUGAAGUACCAAAGGAGAGGGGAGAGACAUGAGUGAUCUAUAUAAAUUCUAAAUAAGAUAUAUAUAAAAUAUAACUAACCUAUAUAUUAGAAGAAAUAAUGGUUCUAAGCUUGUCAAACUUUAUGACAAUCAGAAAUUUAUACCCCCAAGAAGCUAACUUCAAGUGGGAAAAGUUGAUGACAGCCACUACCCAGAGUAAAAAUAUUAAAAUUGAAAGAAAUGUGAGGAGUCCACAAAUAUUUUCAAAUUAAACAGCAACUUCUAAAUCUAUGAGUCAAAUAAGAAAUCACAAAGAAAAGGUGUGAUAGAGAAAUGGGCUCCAUAUUGACCCAUGAUCGGUGUACGUGGAGGCCAGGGCUGUGUGGGGAGGGGAGGUUUGCAUAGAUAAGAUUCAAAGAUCAGAGGUUUAAAAAAUCAUUUGGCUUUCUGAAGUAUGGAGCCCAAGAAGGGCUGCCUAUACUGUAACCUAUCUCUGGAUCCAAAAUCUUUUUGCCCCCAGUUUUAUCGAGAUUAAUUGACAUGUAACAUUCUGUAAGUUUAAGGUGUACAAAAUUAUGAUAGGAUGUAUGUAUAUAUUGUGAAAUGAUUACAAUCAACUUAGUAACAUCCAUCGCCACACAGUACAAUUUUUUUCUCAUGAUGAAAACUUUUUUUAAAGUUUUAUUUAUUUAUAACUAAUCUCUACACCCAAUGUGGGGCUUGAACUCACAACCCCAAUAUCAAGAGUCACAUGCUCCUUCAACUGAGCCAGCUAGGUGCCCUCUUGUGAUGAGAACUUUUAUGAUAUACUCUGAGCAACUUUCAAAUACAUAAUAUACAACUGUUACCUAUAAUCAUGUACACUACAUCCCCAUAAUUUAUGUAUAUAUUAUAACUGGAAACAUACCUUUUGACCACCUUAAUCCAAUUCCCCCACCCUGGGUCCAAAAUCUUGAUUUGAAAGUACCUCAAUUUAAACUCACUAGUCUAGCUUAUUUUAGCACAUAUAACACACCAAAUUCCUAAAGUAAAGAUAUGCUGUCUUCAAUACUCCUGAUCUCCUACAAAGUUAAGAUGUUAGGUAUGGAGGUUCCAGUUUAUUAUUCUGAAGGGUAAUUGGAAAAGAUACUCUACCUGCUCUCAUCCUUUGGAAUUCCAAAAUGCUCACCCACAUGGCCAGAGUGUUUAGGGGAAUAGCAAUUUAUCUCCUCUAUUUUAUUAGAAAAUAAGCAGUUGCUACCCUUCUUCAUUAAACCCUACUAAUAUUUAAAGAUCAUGAAUGUAGUGGAUGAUGUAGUAAUGUCCUUAGGUUGAUCUCAUCAUUGCAAGUUCCAGUAAGUAAAUCUGCAACAAUAGAUGAAUCCACAUUUUAUGGAGUAGGAGAAUAACACUGCCAAAGUUGUGACUACUCAUUGGGAAGAUUGUCAUCAAGAAGACUUGAUAUCCCAUCUGAUUUGUGAUUUAUGGGCUAGCAAUACCACCACUAAUGGUGGUCCCUAACUAUCUUGUCUCUUUGUUUACUUCCUUUGGAGAUAUGAGAUUGCUGCUCAUGCCUAAUUUAAGGCUUAAAUCACAAUGAUCCAGGGAGACACAAGUUGCUGAACAUAUUAGUAUAAUUGACUUAUUUAUAGAUUAAGUGGGUGUGUGACCACCAUUUUUGUCCAAGUGCCUGUUCGAGAAUACAUAGUUCUUUCAGAGUGCCUGGAGUCUAACUGUAUUCUUUCCUUAUGGUUCUGUCAUACUGGUGUUUCCAACAUUUAUUACCACAUCCUGGGGUGUAAAUCACAGUGUGAUCUAACUGCUUCUCAUCGGAAGCCCCUAGAGCCCCUUGUCCAAUCUCUCACCCCAUUGUCACUCCCUGAAAGAGGUGUUGAGUCAGGCACACAGCCACCUACAAUCAAAACAAUAGCAAGCAUGCUUUCUUUGGUUUGAUAUACCUACUGAGAAUGAAUUUGGGGAGGAUCAAUCCAUGGAGUCUUCUCUGAGACUCAUCAAAUCAGAAUGUUCUUUUCCGAACAUUCUUUUCCAAGAGGCUACUGUGCAAUUUUCCAGCAUGACUCCUACCAGGCUUUGGAAAGGCUAGAAGUAGUUACAUCUGUUAGUUAAUUGUUAAUUAUAACAUCUGUAAUUACACUAAAUUUUGCAUUAUCUUCCUCCAAGAAGUGUACAAAUUGCAGUCUUCUCAUACAACAAUCUAAUUAAGCAGUACUUUAUAAAUGAAGUUGGAUAUUUUUUAUUCCAUAAAAGUCUUGGAAUAUACUUUUAUUCACUCCUAAAGAGAUGGUUGUUUUUACAACCUUGAAAAUUUAAAGCCUAAAUAUCAUAAGAAUCUUUGAAAUCUUUCCAGGAUUUUAUUAUUGUAGGGCAAUAUUGCCCAUAGUAGAUAAUUAUUUAACACUUCAUGGGUGUAAGAAUCCUCCUGUUCCCCAACCCACCUUGCCAUAGGCUGCCCUUGUAGCUGCCACAGCUCUGAAUGGAUUACUUUAUUUUUGUUAGCCAGUUUUUCACUUUCAUCUCCAUACUGCAGUACUUGGUAAUGUAACUGUCUCACUUUUAGAUUCUGUUUUCUUAGUAUAUGGAUCAUGGCGGGACACUGAGGAUCUGUCUGUGCCACUUCUUCCCAUUAUUUUUAAAUCUUUGAGGUGGAGAGGCUUCCUGAUUGGCAGAUAUUUUCUUCUGAACAGUAGUGUAACCAACAUUGGUGUCCACUUUUACAGUCCUGGGAUGCCCUUUCUGCUCCCAGUGUUUACAAUGCUGACAUGCAUCACCUACUAUUUUGUAAAUACUAUUGAGCUUAUGAAAUCUUGCUCUGUGUUCUUGCUCUGUUUACUAAUAUAACCCACAUAAAUAUUCUGAACUUUUAGAGCAAAUUCUCCUUGAUGCACAACUGGCUGAAGACUAGAAGGAUACCCAGGGUGCAACGGCUGCAAAUAGUAACCUCUUUGGUAGUGUAUGCAGCCUGUUGAUUGUAUGGGACCUUGGAGACAGGCCUUUCCAGUGGACAUUGAUGUCUGACUUCAUGCUAUCUAGGCUCCAGACAGGGAAUAGGUGUCCUGGCAUUGCACAAGGAAUUGAAUGAUGGGGGAUCAUUAGUGGUGAGAAAUUAUCUUUCGACAGCAACACUUUUGACUUGGAAAAGUCCCUCUUGGUGAUAAAUCCAAAAAUUUUCAACACUCUUUUGACAUGAGGUUUAGUUGCCGAAGGGUCUGUAUCUGAGGGUGUGUGGGAAUUACCUGAAACCAAAACCUGCAGAUCUCCAAGUCGAAUUCUCGUAUCAAUACUGAUUUCAUCUCUGAGGUUUGGAUCCAACAGUCUGCAUUUUUAACAAAUACCAUAGAUGAUUUUUCUCAGUAAAGUUUGGGAACAAGUGGUAUAAGUGAAUUUUAGCUUCUCUAACAGACGUAACAUUUUGAAGACUAAUUGAAAUGGCUAAUUUGUGAAUAUUUUCUAGUUGAACCCCAGCUAAUUUAAACAAAGGAAAAAUUUACUGUGAAAAAUACAAAAGCACUGCAAAAUAAAUUUCAAGUUGUUGCAGGAUUUUUUUUUUCACCUCAAUACCCGGGGUUCGUUGUCUCUCCUCUUUGAAGAAUGAAGAGGUGGACACAAAAUAAGCAACAGGCAAAAGUUUAUUAGAGUAUAAGAUCAGAAAGUAAGAGUAGUAGGAAGUCUUUUUUACAGAGAGGGGACAUUCAAAGUGAAUGACCAAAGACUAUAGGCAAGGGUCCUUGUUUUAUAAGGUUCUGGUCAACCUCCUUCCCUUCCCACUUGUUCCUUCUCAGGUUCCUUGUCCCUUAUUGGCUGGACAAUUCUAGGUGCUGGGUUGUCCAUUGCUGAUUGACUUGUUUCCAUUCUAUGAGGGGUGGUCUAUGGCCAUAUCAUUCCUUGUGGGUCAUAUGUUUCAUGGUCUACUACUUAUUUUCAGUUAGGUCUUUCGUCAAAUUCCUGAGGGAAGCCUGAAGGGGAGUAAGUGUGGUCUGUUACUUUCUUAAGAGGAACCUUAAGCGUGAUGGGGUUUGCUGUGGUCUGACACUCCCAGCAUUGUUCCAAAAUAUGUAUUUUUCCCCACCCAGGGACCUCAGGUCCUAAUUAUUUCCCUCUCUGCCUGUUUUAUCCUAUUUUUUCCUAUUAUAAACUGACUUAUUAGCAUCAUUAACAGUAUAAUAAUUGCUUUUUAAAAAACCUUUAAAAACUGAAAUAAAAAACACACAAUUUUCAAAAUUACCAAAAUAGCUUUUAUGAAGCAGUACUCCAUGCUAUGGAAUGAAUUGUGUCUUCCCCAAAUUCAUAUGUUAAAGCCUGAAUCCCCAGUAUGAUGGUAUUUGAGGAAGGAGACUUUGGAAGGUAUUAGGUUUAGAUGAGGUCAUGAUAGUAGGGCCCUCAGGAUGGAAUUAGGGUUCUUGUAAGAGACAUUAGAGAUCUUUCUAGCUCUUUCUGUCUCUGCCUUGUGAGGACAUGGAGAGAAAGUCUGUAAGCCAGUAAGAGAGCUCUCACUAGAACCUGACCAUGUUGUCACCUUGAUCUUGAACUUCCCAGGCUUCAAAACUGUGAGAAUUACUACACUAUUUUGGUUAUGGCACCCUUAGCUGACUAAAGCACAACAUAAAUGUAAGGGAUUUUUUUUUAUUACAAUAAUUUUGUUUUUUAUCAAUUCCCAUCCCAGCAUCUAUGGCAGAAUGUUCCCUCUUCAAAUUAAAAGUAAAACCUUCUUAGUAAGCACUAUAGUGUUUACUUCUAUUAAUAAAAUCAAUUUGCAAAAUUUGUCUUUGAUUUUGCUAAUGCCAAAUCCACAGGAAAAGCUGUUUUCAGAUAAAUUGUUCAACUUUUUUUAGUUGCAGUUUUCAUGUUUUACUUCAGAUUUUUAAUUUCACAUUUUGCUUAUAGAUUUCUUGGAUUUUUGGCUUAAAAUGAAGACUAUCUGGUUAUUAAUAAAGCUCUGUACCUAUGGGGGUGCCUGGGUGGCUCAGUCGGUUAAGCGUCAGACUUCAGCUCAGGUCAUGAUCUUGCAGUCUGUGAGUUUGAGCCCGGAGUUGGGCCCUGUGCUGACAGCUCAGAGCCUGGA
Felis catus (domestic cat) is the source of this 6020-nucleotide long non-coding RNA. RefSeq lists it as uncharacterized. NCBI's taxonomy places the organism in Eukaryota, Metazoa, Chordata, Mammalia, Carnivora, Felidae. The record is from RefSeq and is a predicted model, not a curated record. The transcript has 3 exons.